RNAcentral lists this long non-coding RNA (2251 nucleotides) under Homo sapiens (human). Its description in RNAcentral is "HSALNT0312218". The record is from RNAcentral. Lineage: Eukaryota; Metazoa; Chordata; Mammalia; Primates; Hominidae.
AACUUGACGUACACACGCAGUCCUAUCCCUACGGUCCUGGAAUUGGGGGUUACUAUCUUGGAAUCUAGGGGCACUCCAGGCUCUGGGCUCAGACGGCUGGCUUCUGCCUACCCGAGCCUUAACCUUUCAAGGACCAGAAGGAUUCCAGAGCUCUUGCCCUAGGUCCUGGGGCAGCGAUGACUCACUGCAGCACCCCCUCCCACUUCGCCAAGCUGCCGUCUCCGCCCACCCCCAAACAAUCUCGACAGCGCAUUUCGGGAGCCACGGCUCCGGGCGCUUUGCUGGGGGCUAAAGGGGUUUAUCCCUUUCCUUGAAUCCCAGCAGGCUAGAACUACCCCCUCCCAGUCUUCAGGCUUGCCACGCUCUCCACCCGAUCCUUCCAUUGAAAGGCAGAGAAGGAAGGAUGUGCUUGGGAACUUUAAGACCCACGAACGACAGCGCACUGAUGGAGCAGCCCAGUGUCUGGGGGGUUGACUUCAGGACUGGAGUAUGUGAAGAUUCUGGUAUAUCUGCAAGGAUCCUGGAACCAAUCCCCUGCCAACACCAAGGGAUGAAUCAAAGUCCUCGAGGUUCAUUCAUUCAGGAAGCCUCUGACCAGCCUUUACCAUGCGCUGAGUGAGAAGCUGAGGAUAAGGAAAGAGCAAGACCCCCAAGAAACCCUGAUGUCUGGCUGAAAGCCGAAGCAUGACGCAACUUUGCUAUAUUUCUCUCCAACAAGGAUUUGUAUAUUUUCGCUUUCUCCUCAAGUAACACCUGGACCUGCUCCUUUCCCUUCAAACGCUGAGGGCUCAGUCUCCAAGUUCCUUUAUGAAACAGGGUGUACCAUCAGAGACGCAGGUAUUUAUUGAAACCUGCUUUGUGCUGGGCAAUGUGCCAGAUGUUGGGGAUAAAAUGUUGGAUCUUUUUCAUCUACUUCAAUCAAAACCACGUAUCACAACAGACUGAAGGCAGAACAGAUAUGAUCAUCAAGCUGUCUUCUGUUAAUCCAGAUGUUAAAUGUAAAACAGUGCUACUCUUUGUACUAAAUGCUUUAUUUUGGAAAAUAUCAUUAUUUCUCUUAAAAAUGUGCUAUUUAUGUUAACAUAGGAGUUUAUUGUUAUUUUUGAGUGAAUAAAGCAAUAUUUUUAAAUUUCUUAGUUUUAAGAUUGAAUACAGUAAAUAUUGAUAGGUAUAAUACAUAUAAAUAAAACUCUUUGGGGUCCUUAAUACUUUUUAGGAGUGUAAGGGGUUCCUGAGAGCAAAAUUUUGAGGAUCCUACCUAGUGCAUGAGAACAUGGGCUCUGGAGCCAGGCCUGCCUGGGUAUAUCCUAUUAUCGCUGGGUUUUUUUUUUAAUUUUAUUUUACGUUUAGGGGUACAUGUGCAGGUUUGUUAUGUAGAUAAUAAACUCAUGUCAUGGGGAUUUGUUGUACAGAUUAUUUUGUUACCCAGGUACGAAGCCUAUUACCCAGUGGUUAUUUUUUUUGCUCCUCUCCCUCCUCUCAUCCUCCACCCUCAAGUAGGCCCCAGCAUCUGUUGUUUCCUUCUUUCUAUUCAUGAGUUCUCAUCAUUUAGUUCCCACUUAUAAGUGAGAACAUGCAGUAUUUGGUUUUCUGUUCCUGGGUUAGUUUGCUAAGGAUAAUGACCUCCAGCUCCAUCCAUCCCAUGUUCCUGCAAAAGACAUAAUCUCAUUCUUCUUUAUGGCUGCAUAGUAGUCCAUGGUGUAUGUGUACCAUAUUUUCUUCAUACACUCUGUCAUUGAUGGGCAUAUAGGAAGAGAUGUUGGACCUUGGGCAAAUUAUUCCCACUUUGUCUGCACUAGUUUUAUAAGCAAUAUAGAAACAGUUCCUACAUUCAUUCUAGGGGUGUUAUGAAUGAUAAACAGGUGGGCACAGAUCCGUUAGCUCUUGUCUAAUUUGUGAGUGAGUACUCUUUCCACUAGAUUCACUUUUCCAAGCUUUGCUGUCCAUAUUUCUGAGGGUUUUUUUUUUUUUUUUUCUGAGACUUCAGCCCAGGCUGGAGUGCAGUGGCACAAUCUUGGCUCACCGCUACCUCCAAUUCCCAGGUUCAAACGAUUCUCCAGCCUCAGCGUCCCAAGUAGCUGGGAUUACAGGAAUGCACCAUCACACCCAGCUAAUUUUUGUAUUUUUAGUAGAGAUGGGGUUUCACCACAUUGGCCAGGCUCGUCUCAAAUUUCUGACCUCAGGUGAUCCACCCGCCUCGGCCUCCCAAAAUGCUGGGAUUACAGGUGUGAGCCACUGCGUACAGCCCAUU